This 213-nucleotide unclassified non-coding RNA is filed under the name Hevea brasiliensis (rubber tree). The record is from RNAcentral. Lineage: Eukaryota; Viridiplantae; Streptophyta; Magnoliopsida; Malpighiales; Euphorbiaceae.
AAAAAGUCGAGGUAGGCAAAGCCACGGCCUUUGGUCCUGAUGAUGUCAACAGAUUCAAUCUCACCAUCCAUUUUUGAGAAAAUUUUUUGCAAAUCAUCAGUAGUCACGCUCUCCCCUAAUCCUCCCACGUAGAUUCUUACUCUUGUUCUUGUGAAAUUGUCGUCUCCUCCCAUAUCUUUCUUCUUUCUUCCUGCGGCGAUUUCCUGCAUAAAU